UGCAUAAUGUUAGCAGACCAUGGGAACAAUCCUCUAAUCAGUUUUCUCAGUACCCAGCUACCAUGUUAUUGACAGCUGAUCAUGAUGAUCGGGUUGUGCCAUUACACUCAUUAAAGUUAUUAGCGGUAAUUAAGAACCAAUCUGACCUCAUUGAUAAAAGACGAGUGUUUUACUCAGACAUAAGAGAUGACAAUCCAUUGAAUUCCAUUGUGUCAAAAGUGAAAAUUGUGCAACUUGCGGCAAAAGCUGACUUGGCUGAAAAAGAGAAUACUUUUGUCUUCAGACUUGUAUUAUGAUAUGGCAUAUUCAUUGCCACACUUUUCGUUUACAACUCUAGAUACAGCUACAGCAAAUCCAGAAAACUUAAAGAUGGAUAGUGAUGCAUCCUCAAUAAGUGAAGCUAGUUCAAAUAGUGCACUAGGAGACAACUGACGCUGCAAAGUCUUCCCAAGUUUCUAGAUGUCAAGAGUAUCGGAUGACUUUACUAGAUUUAUACUCUGGAUGUGGAGCCAUGUCAACUGGUCUCUGCCUUGGAGCAUCCGUAUCUGGUUUGAAACUGGUUACUAGGUGGGCUGUGGAUAUAAAUUCUAAU
This is a non-coding RNA of Camellia sinensis, 592 nucleotides long. The record is from RefSeq and is a predicted model, not a curated record. Lineage: Eukaryota; Viridiplantae; Streptophyta; Magnoliopsida; Ericales; Theaceae.